GGGGAUUUAGCUCAGUGGUAGAGCGCUUGCCUAGCAAGCACAAGGCCCUGGGUUCGGUCCCAGUUCCG
This 68-nucleotide transfer RNA is filed under the name Rattus norvegicus (Norway rat). It matches the Rfam family "tRNA". From Rfam's summary of the family: Transfer RNA (tRNA) molecules are approximately 80 nucleotides in length. Their secondary structure includes four short double-helical elements and three loops (D, anti-codon, and T loops). Further hydrogen bonds mediate the characteristic L-shaped molecular structure. tRNAs have two regions of fundamental functional importance: the anti-codon, which is responsible for specific mRNA codon recognition, and the 3' end, to which the tRNAs corresponding amino acid is attached (by aminoacyl-tRNA synthetases). tRNAs cope with the degeneracy of the genetic code in two manners: having more than one tRNA (with a specific anti-codon) for a particular amino acid; and 'wobble' base-pairing, i.e. permitting non-standard base-pairing at the 3rd anti-codon position. The record is from Rfam by way of RNAcentral. Lineage: Eukaryota; Metazoa; Chordata; Mammalia; Rodentia; Muridae.